ACUGUCAGGAAGUCACAAAGGACUGCGUGCUGAGGUUAAAGGUUCAGUCGAAUGAGGACAUGAACGAUCCUGCAGUACAGGAUGGAAUCUUGCAGAAGAUCCAGCAGAAAAUGAUGGAGCAGGGGAUUGCUAACAAAUUCAAACUUAAAUGGAGGAUGCAACCGGACGGAAAUGUGUUUCACAAGAUUGUGUAAAGUAAA
Molecule: long non-coding RNA, 200 nt
Organism: Trichomycterus rosablanca
Lineage: Eukaryota; Metazoa; Chordata; Actinopteri; Siluriformes; Trichomycteridae
Exons: 3
Source: RefSeq, a predicted model, not a curated record